AUUGAACGCUGGCGGCAGGCCUAACACAUGCAAGUCGAGCGGAUGAAGGGAGCUUGCUCCUGGAUUCAGCGGCGGACGGGUGAGUAAUGCCUAGGAAUCUGCCUGGUAGUGGGGGAUAACGUCCGGAAACGGGCGCUAAUACCGCAUACGGCCUGAGGGAGAAAGUGGGGGCUCUUCGGACCUCACGCUAUCAGAUGAGCCUAGGUCGGAUUAGCGAGUUGGUGGGGUAAAGGCCUACCAAGGCGACGAUCCGUAACUGGUCUGAGAGGAUGAUCAGUCACGCUUGAACUGAGACACGGUCCAGACGCCUACGGGAGGCAGCAGUUGGGAAUAUUGGACGAUGGGCGAAAGCCUGAUCCAGCCAGGCCGCGUGUGUGAAGAAGGUCUUCGGAUUGUAAAGCACUUUAAGUUGGGAGGAAGGGCAGUAAGUUAAGACCUUGCUGUUUUGACGUUACCAACAGAAUAAGCACCGGCUAACUUCGUG
This 484-nucleotide ribosomal RNA is filed under the name uncultured bacterium. RNAcentral's name for it is "partial 16S ribosomal RNA". It matches the Rfam family "Bacterial small subunit ribosomal RNA", at positions 30 to 507 of the family's 1533-position model. The record is from RNAcentral.